Mobula hypostoma (lesser devil ray) is the source of this 234-nucleotide long non-coding RNA. RefSeq lists it as uncharacterized. The record is from RefSeq and is a predicted model, not a curated record. The transcript has 3 exons. NCBI's taxonomy places the organism in Eukaryota, Metazoa, Chordata, Chondrichthyes, Myliobatiformes, Myliobatidae.
UCCAGAUGUGCAAAGCUGAUAGAGACCUAUCCACACAGACUCAAGGCUGUAAUUGCUGCCAAAGAUCCUGACUGGCCUGAUGAAGAUUGUCAGUGUUUCUUCUUUUCUAACACUGAGGUGCCGUGCACAAUCCUGAUUUGAUGGACACGGACGUGAGAGUACGGAGGAACAUCUGGUGAAACUUCUGAAAUGCCUGCUUUGCUGCUGCUGCUACUGUGUGGUCCUGAAUCUCCG